GACAUCAAUCAAUUUUUAUUUAAAACCUGGUCUGUUAAUGGGUCGGAUGUAUAAAACUCGGUCUGUUAAUUGGUCUGUUAAGAGUUAUGAAUGGCAAUAAAAGAAUAAUUUUAUUGCUACUAUGUGGGGUGUUGUCGCAUCAUGGGUAGGCUCAAGACGAACGGCUAAAAUAUACGGAAACAACACAUGAACACUGAAACAUAAAAUAUAGGGAAACAACACAUGAACAAUGAAACAUAAAAUAUCGGAAA
This 251-nucleotide long non-coding RNA is filed under the name Mytilus galloprovincialis (Mediterranean mussel). The record is from RNAcentral. Lineage: Eukaryota; Metazoa; Mollusca; Bivalvia; Mytilida; Mytilidae.